UUUCCUUGUAAUGGGAGUUGUUGAACAUCUAUGUCUCUGUCUAGGUCUCUCUCACGACACUCAUCACCGAAUCGACAUCGAGGCCCUACCUCGCUCGCCACCACAACCAGUUUGGCUUCCCCUCCCAUCCACAACUUAUUUGCUUCCAAACAUGAAUAUCCGAAACCCCCUCCAAAUUCCUCUCCACUUUCUAUGUUGAACAAACAAAAAAAGUUUUUUUUUUCCAACCCAAUUGAGGCUUUUUAGUAUUU
This 251-nucleotide long non-coding RNA is filed under the name Prunus persica (peach). Its description in RNAcentral is "long non-coding RNA (PPER_LNC001344)". The record is from RNAcentral. Lineage: Eukaryota; Viridiplantae; Streptophyta; Magnoliopsida; Rosales; Rosaceae.